This 286-nucleotide unclassified non-coding RNA is filed under the name Glomeromycotina sp. RNAcentral describes it as "partial contains small subunit ribosomal RNA, internal transcribed spacer 1, and 5.8S ribosomal RNA". The stretch from base 1 to 47 matches the Rfam family "Eukaryotic small subunit ribosomal RNA", at positions 1785 to 1831 of the family's 1831-position model. Lineage: Eukaryota; Fungi; Glomeromycota. The record is from RNAcentral.
AAAGUCGUAACAAGGUUUCCGUAGGUGAACCUGCGGAAGGAUCAUUAAUAUUUGAGUCGGGGUUGUUCUUGUGGUCUUCGUUCGGUUCUUGUUUGUGUUAGUUAAAAAGCCCGGGAAUAACUCUGACACAAAUAUAUGAACACUUUUUUAUUCUCUCUGUAUUUUUUUAACCAAAAAUAUAAGGAGCAAGAUGAUAUAUUUAAAACCCAACUCUUUAAAUGUUUUUAUAACUAUUGUGUAUUUUAAAUAAAAAAGAUCACUUUCAACAACGGAUCUCUUGGCUCUC